CGUACACUCCUGCGGGAGGCAGCAGUGGGGAAUAUUGGACAAUGGGCGCAAGCCUGAUCCAGCCAUGCCGCGUGAGUGAUGAAGGCCCUAGGGUUGUAAAGCUCUUUCACCGGUGAAGAUAAUGACGGUAACCGGAGAAGAAGCCCCGGCUAACUUCGUGCCAGCAGCCGCGGUAAUACGAAGGGGGCUAGCGUUGUUCGGAUUUACUGGGCGUAAAGCGCACGUAGGCGGACUAUUAAGUCAGGGGUGAAAUCCCGGGGCUCAACCCCGGAACUGCCUUUGAUACUGGUAGUCUUGAGUUCGAGAGAGGUGAGUGGAAUUCCGAGUGUAGAGGUGAAAUUCGUAGAUAUUCGGAGGAACACCAGUGGCGAAGGCGGCUCACUGGCUCGAUACUGACGCUGAGGUGCGAAAGCGUGGGGAGCAAACAGGAUUAGAUACCCGUGUAGUCCCAUGAU
RNAcentral lists this ribosomal RNA (455 nucleotides) under uncultured organism. RNAcentral describes it as "partial 16S ribosomal RNA". It matches the Rfam family "Bacterial small subunit ribosomal RNA", at positions 330 to 801 of the family's 1533-position model. The record is from RNAcentral.